GAUGAAGAACGCAGCGAAAUGCGAUAAGUAAUGUGAAUUGCAGAAUUCAGUGAAUCAUCGAAUCUUUGAACGCACCUUGCACCCUUUGGCAUUCCGAAGGGUAUGCUCGUUUGAGUGUCAUUGUACUCUCACACUUCCAAUCUUUGGAUUGGGAGCGGUGGACUUGGGUGUUGCUGCUUACUGUGGCUCACCUCAAAUCGAUUCGUGCACCUCUUGGUUGGACAUAGUACGGCGUGAUAAGUGUCUUCGCCGGCACCUCAGUAGAGGGUGGCUGAUCAGGAGCUCUGUGCUUCAAACCGUCCUCGGACAACAACUGACAACUUGACCUCGAAUCGAGUAGGACUACCCGCUGAACUUAAGCAUAUCAAUAAGCGGAGGA
Molecule: unclassified non-coding RNA, 379 nt
Filed under: soil metagenome
Description: partial contains 5.8S ribosomal RNA, internal transcribed spacer 2, and large subunit ribosomal RNA
Rfam family: 5.8S ribosomal RNA (bases 1-120)
Source: RNAcentral